GGCCUGAUAGCUCAACUGGUAGAGAACUGCAUUGGUAUUGUAGAGAUAUAAGGGUUGAUAUCCCAUUCAGACCU
Molecule: transfer RNA, 74 nt
Filed under: Acropora cervicornis
Lineage: Eukaryota; Metazoa; Cnidaria; Anthozoa; Scleractinia; Acroporidae
Description: tRNA-Thr
Rfam family: tRNA
About the family: Transfer RNA (tRNA) molecules are approximately 80 nucleotides in length. Their secondary structure includes four short double-helical elements and three loops (D, anti-codon, and T loops).
Source: RNAcentral